RNAcentral lists this ribosomal RNA (663 nucleotides) under Triticum aestivum (bread wheat). Its description in RNAcentral is "partial small subunit ribosomal RNA". The record is from RNAcentral. Lineage: Eukaryota; Viridiplantae; Streptophyta; Magnoliopsida; Poales; Poaceae.
AUGGUAUCAGCUCCGGUGCUAGCCCUCCCAGAUUUCACUAAGACUUUUGUCAUUGAGACAGAUGCGUGUGAUGUGGGAAUUGAAGUAGUGUUAACACAAGACAGACACCCUCUAGCGUAUGUCAAUAAGGCCCUUGGACCCAGGAACCAUGCUCUAUCAUUUUAUGAGAAGGAAUACGUGGCAAUUCUUCUUGCUGUGGAACACUGGCAUCAGUACGUAGAGUUAAGUGAGUUUGUUAUUAAGACUGACCAUAGAAGCUUGACCAGCUUAUCUGAUCAGCACCUGCACACCCCCUGGCAACAGAAGGCGCUAACCAAGCUCAUGGGUCUCCAAUAACAAAUUGUUUACAAGAAAGGUUACGAAAAUAAUACUACUGAUUCAUUAUCUUGGAGACCUCAUUCUGAUGCAGAGUUGCAAGUUGUCUCAACAAUGCAACCACUCCAGCUUUCUGAAAUCAUGUCCAUUUACAAUCAAGACCCCUUCUACAAGCAAAACUGCAACAUCUGGCUACUGAUCCUGCAUCAGACAGUAUUUUCUCCCUCAGAAAUGGACAAUUGUGUAUUGAUAAUUACAUUUGGGUCCGUCCUGAUAUCCAGCUCCAACAGAAGAUUGUGUUGGAAUUCCAUGAUUGAACUUUGGGGAGUCACUCAGGAUUCCCUGUGA